Small nuclear RNA from Pogoniulus pusillus (Red-fronted tinkerbird), 164 nucleotides. RefSeq annotates it as U1 spliceosomal RNA. The transcript has a single exon. The record is from RefSeq and is a predicted model, not a curated record. Lineage: Eukaryota; Metazoa; Chordata; Aves; Piciformes; Lybiidae.
UUACUUACCUGGCAGGGGAGACACCGUGAUCAGGCAGGUGGUUUUCCCAGGGCAAGGCUCAUUCUUUGCACUCCGGGUAUGCUGGCCCCUGCGAUUUCCCCAACUGUGGGAAACUCAGCUGCAUAAUUUAUGAUAGUGGAGGACUGUGUUUGUGCUCUCCCCUG